This 217-nucleotide unclassified non-coding RNA is filed under the name Hevea brasiliensis (rubber tree). Lineage: Eukaryota; Viridiplantae; Streptophyta; Magnoliopsida; Malpighiales; Euphorbiaceae. The record is from RNAcentral.
AGACAACAUCCUGGUGAAUAGCAAGCGAACAAACUGAAAUUUGAGGCAAACACAAUAAUCGCAAGCUCAAGAAAGAUUAAGAACAGGGAAAACAACUUUAAACUUGCAUCAGACCACCUCGAAAACGAAACAAACAUUAUCUAACUUGAAUAAAAUGACUCGAGGAUAAAGAGAGCAAAUAAACAUAUUAGAUUUGGACACAUCACAUAGAGGCAUU